RNAcentral lists this ribosomal RNA (517 nucleotides) under uncultured bacterium. RNAcentral describes it as "bacterial SSU rRNA". It matches the Rfam family "Bacterial small subunit ribosomal RNA", at positions 992 to 1509 of the family's 1533-position model. The record is from RNAcentral.
AGAACUUAGCAGAGAUGCUUUGGUGCCUUCGGGAACUCUGAGACAGGUGCUGCAUGGCUGUCGUCAGCUCGUGUUGUGAAAUGUUGGGUUAAGUCCCGCAACGAGCGCAACCCUUAUCCUUUGUUGCCAGCGAUUCGGUCGGGAACUCAAAGGAGACUGCCAGUGAUAAACUGGAGGAAGGUGGGGAUGACGUCAAGUCAUCAUGGCCCUUACGAGUAGGGCUACACACGUGCUACAAUGGCGCAUACAAAGAGAAGCGACCUCGCGAGAGCAAGCGGACCUCAUAAAGUGCGUCGUAGUCCGGAUUGGAGUCUGCAACUCGACUCCAUGAAGUCGGAAUCGCUAGUAAUCGUAGAUCAGAAUGCUACGGUGAAUACGUUCCCGGGCCUUGUACACACCACCCGUCACACCAUGGGAGUGGGUUGCAAAAGAAGUAGGUAGCUUAACUUUCGGGAGGGCGCUUACCACUUUGUGAUUCAUGACUGGGGUGAAGUCGUAACAAGGUAAGCGUAGUGCU